UACGGAGGGAGCUAGCGUUGUUCGGAAUUACUGGGCGUAAAGCGCGCGUAGGCGGCUUUGUAAGUUAGAGGUGAAAGCCCGGGGCUCAACUCCGGAAUUGCCUUUAAGACUGCAUCGCUAGAAUUGUGGAGAGGUAAGUGGAAUUCCGAGUGUAGAGGUGAAAUUCGUAGAUAUUCGGAAGAACACCAGUGGCGAAGGCGACUUACUGGACACAUAUUGACGCUGAGGUGCGAAAGCGUUGGGAGCAAACGGG
Molecule: ribosomal RNA, 253 nt
Filed under: uncultured bacterium
Lineage: Bacteria
Description: partial 16S ribosomal RNA
Rfam family: Bacterial small subunit ribosomal RNA
Source: RNAcentral